Molecule: ribosomal RNA, 624 nt
Filed under: Tetrias fischerii
Lineage: Eukaryota; Metazoa; Arthropoda; Malacostraca; Decapoda; Pinnotheridae
Description: partial 16S ribosomal RNA
Rfam family: Bacterial large subunit ribosomal RNA
Source: RNAcentral
GUCUGCUUGGAGAUAUAAGAAGUUUAACCUGCUCACUGAUAAGUUUAAAGAGCCGCGGUAUACUGACCGUGCAAAGGUAGCAUAAUUGUUAGUUUUUUAAUUGGAAUCUUGUAUGAAUGGUUGGACAAAAGAAAAUCUGUCUCUUUAGUUAUAAUUGAAUUUAACUUUUAAGUGAAAAGGCUUAAAUUAAUUAAAAAGACGAUAAGACCCUAUAAAGCUUUAUAAAUAAUUUCUAUUAGGUUGAAUUAUAUUAUAAAAAUUUAGUAGUUAUAUUUAUUUUAUUGGGGUGAUAGAGGUAUAAUUAUUAUUAACUGCUUAAUUGUUAUACAAAAUAUUUGGGUAAUAUGUUAAAGAUCCUAUUUAAAGAUUAAAAGAUUAAGUUACUUUAGGGAUAACAGCGUUAUUUUUUUUGAGAGUUCUUAUCGAAAAAAGAGUUUGCGACCUCGAUGUUGAAUUAAAAUAUCUAAGUAAUUGCAGUAGUUACUUUAGAAGGUCUGUUCGACCUUUAAAUUUUUACAUGAUUUGAGUUCAGACCGGCGUGAGCCAGGUCGGUUUCUAUCUUUUAAUAAAAGUAGACUAUUUUAGUACGAAAGGAUUAAGUAGUCAAAAUUUUUUUUUAGUUGG